AUUGAACGCUGGCGGCAGGCCUAACACAUGCAAGUCGAGCGGAUGAAGGGAGCUUGCUCCUGGAUUCAGCGGCGGACGGGUGAGUAAUGCCUAGGAAUCUGCCUGGUAGUGGGGGAUAACGUCCGGAAACGGGCGCUAAUACCGCAUACGUCCUGAGGGAGAAAGUGGGGGAUCUUCGGACCUCACGCUAUCAGAUGAGCCUAGGUCGGAUUAGCUAGUUGGUGGGGUAAAGGCCUACCAAGGCGACGAUCCGUAACUGGUCUGAGAGGAUGAUCAGUCACACUGGAACUGAGACACGGUCCAGACUCCUACGGGAGGCAGCAGUGGGGAAUAUUGGACAAUGGGCGAAAGCCUGAUCCAGCCAUGCCGCGUGUGUGAAGAAGGUCUUCGGAUUGUAAAGCACUUUAAGUUGGGAGGAAGGGCAGUAAGUUAAUACCUUGCUGUUUCGACGUUACCAACAGAAUAAGCACCGGCUAACUUCGUGC
This 485-nucleotide ribosomal RNA is filed under the name uncultured bacterium. Its description in RNAcentral is "partial 16S ribosomal RNA". It matches the Rfam family "Bacterial small subunit ribosomal RNA", at positions 30 to 508 of the family's 1533-position model. The record is from RNAcentral.